This 75-nucleotide transfer RNA is filed under the name Candidatus Bathyarchaeota archaeon. Its description in RNAcentral is "tRNA-Arg". It matches the Rfam family "tRNA". Rfam says of the family: Transfer RNA (tRNA) molecules are approximately 80 nucleotides in length. Their secondary structure includes four short double-helical elements and three loops (D, anti-codon, and T loops). Further hydrogen bonds mediate the characteristic L-shaped molecular structure. tRNAs have two regions of fundamental functional importance: the anti-codon, which is responsible for specific mRNA codon recognition, and the 3' end, to which the tRNAs corresponding amino acid is attached (by aminoacyl-tRNA synthetases). tRNAs cope with the degeneracy of the genetic code in two manners: having more than one tRNA (with a specific anti-codon) for a particular amino acid; and 'wobble' base-pairing, i.e. permitting non-standard base-pairing at the 3rd anti-codon position. The record is from RNAcentral. Lineage: Archaea; Thermoproteati; Candidatus Bathyarchaeota.
GGGCACGUAGUCUAGCAUGGAUAGGGCACUGGCUUCCGGAGCCAGAUGUCGCAAGUUCAAAUCUUGCCGUGCCCG